RNAcentral lists this long non-coding RNA (517 nucleotides) under Olea europaea subsp. europaea. The record is from RNAcentral. Lineage: Eukaryota; Viridiplantae; Streptophyta; Magnoliopsida; Lamiales; Oleaceae.
CAGAAUCAAGAAUUAAAACAAAAUUAAAAGAUAUAAAGAAUACACCCGUAUGAUAAUCCUUCAAUUUUGUGUGUAAUCUUCAAUUCCUUCUUGAAUCCUUGUGAAAUCAAGCCCAAGAUUGUGUUUCUUGCCUUCAAAUUGAGUGUAUUUCUUCUCCCUGGUCGUUCAUGCCCUCAAUUUUUUGAUUUUGGGUAUUUAUAUCGCGUAAAAAUCAAAUAGGAAAAGAGUUUCAACGAAAACAAAAAACUACAACGGAGGCCCCCGAAUUAUCACUAUGCGACCGCAUAGAAGGAUUCUAUGCGGUCGCAUAGACCAAACGCAUAGAAGGAUUCUAUGCGGUCGCAUAGACCAAUAAAUUUUCCCCCAACAUUUCCUGCAACCAUCUAUGUGACCGCAUAGAUGGUUACACUAUGCGGUCGUAUAGAUAUAACCAACUAUGUAGUCCUUACAUUUUGGUCCCUGAACUUCCUUGUUGCUUCUCUUGACUUCUUUCUUCGAUUUCUUCAUCUUUUCAACA